GGAGAGGUGGCAGAGUGGUCGACUGUACCGCACUCGAAAUGCGGCGUGCCUGUGCGGGCACCGUGGGUUCGAAUCCCACCCUCUACGCCA
RNAcentral lists this transfer RNA (90 nucleotides) under Brevundimonas sp. RNAcentral's name for it is "tRNA-Ser". It matches the Rfam family "tRNA". Rfam says of the family: Transfer RNA (tRNA) molecules are approximately 80 nucleotides in length. Their secondary structure includes four short double-helical elements and three loops (D, anti-codon, and T loops). Further hydrogen bonds mediate the characteristic L-shaped molecular structure. tRNAs have two regions of fundamental functional importance: the anti-codon, which is responsible for specific mRNA codon recognition, and the 3' end, to which the tRNAs corresponding amino acid is attached (by aminoacyl-tRNA synthetases). tRNAs cope with the degeneracy of the genetic code in two manners: having more than one tRNA (with a specific anti-codon) for a particular amino acid; and 'wobble' base-pairing, i.e. permitting non-standard base-pairing at the 3rd anti-codon position. The record is from RNAcentral. Lineage: Bacteria; Pseudomonadati; Pseudomonadota; Alphaproteobacteria; Caulobacterales; Caulobacteraceae.